This 183-nucleotide ribosomal RNA is filed under the name uncultured bacterium. RNAcentral's name for it is "partial 16S ribosomal RNA". It matches the Rfam family "Bacterial small subunit ribosomal RNA", at positions 1318 to 1500 of the family's 1533-position model. The record is from RNAcentral.
GCAUGAAGUUGGAAUUGCUAGUAAUCGCGGAUCAGCAUGCCGCGGUGAAUACGUUCCCGGGCCUUGUACACACCGCCCGUCACACCAUGAGAGUCGGGAACACCCGAAGUCCGUAGUCUAACCGCAAGGAGGGCGCGGCCGAAGGUGGGUUCGAUAAUUGGGGUGAAGUCGUAACAAGGUAAC